Molecule: ribosomal RNA, 253 nt
Filed under: uncultured bacterium
Lineage: Bacteria
Description: partial 16S ribosomal RNA
Rfam family: Bacterial small subunit ribosomal RNA
Source: RNAcentral
UACGUAGGGGGCAAGCGUUGUUCGGAAUUAUUGGGCGUAAAGCGCGUGUAGGCGGCUUUGCAAGUCGGGUGUGAAAGCCCUCAGCUCAACUGAGGAAGUGCGCCCGAAACUGCAGAGCUUGAGUGCCGGAGAGGGUAGCGGAAUUCCCCAAGUAGAGGUGAAAUUCGUAGAUAUGGGGAGGAACACCGGUGGCGAAGGCGGCUACCUGGACGGUGACUGACGCUGAGACGCGAAAGCGUGGGUAGCAAACAGG